CCUACGGGUGGCAGCAGUGAGGAAUAUUGGUCAAUGGGCGGGAGCCUGAACCAGCCAAGUCGCGUGAGGGAAGAAGGUCCUACGGAUUGUAAACCUCUUUUGCCGGGGAGCAACGGGGUCCUUGCGAGGGCCCGAGGAGAGUACUCGGAGAAAAAGCAUAGGCUAACUCCGGGCGAGCAGCCGCGGUAAUACGGAGGAUGGGAGCGUUAUCCGGAUUUAUUGGGUUUAAAGGGUGCGUAGGCGGGCUGUUAAGUCAGCGGUCAAAUGUAGGGACUCAACCGCGGCCGGCCGUUGAAACUGGCGUCCUCGAGUGGGUGAGAGGUAUGCGGAAUGCGUGGUGUAGCGGUGAAAUGCUUAGAUAUCACGCAGAACUCCGAUUGCGAAGGCAGCAUACCGGCGCCCGACUGACGCUGAGGCACGAAAGCGUGGGUAUCGAACAGGAUUAGAUACCCUUGUAGUC
Molecule: ribosomal RNA, 460 nt
Filed under: uncultured bacterium
Lineage: Bacteria
Description: partial 16S ribosomal RNA
Rfam family: Bacterial small subunit ribosomal RNA
Source: RNAcentral